RNAcentral lists this long non-coding RNA (2602 nucleotides) under Daphnia magna. RNAcentral describes it as "uncharacterized LOC116916961". The record is from RNAcentral. Lineage: Eukaryota; Metazoa; Arthropoda; Branchiopoda; Diplostraca; Daphniidae.
AACGCUUAGUCACUCAGCAGACGAUCUCUUACAACGCGUAAGCACUAGCUGAGACUGAAAAACGUUCAACAACGUUCAAAUUUUUCUAAAAACAAUUAUUGAGAAAGGAACGACUUAUAAAUUUAGGAUUCUUGUUCAGAUACUAGCAUGGAUCCAAAAUGGAACAAGUCAUUACAAGUAAAUAACAACAAAUCGAUUUCUGUCUUCAUGUUUUGACCUUCAUAGCCUAUCAGAGCAACAAGUUAUGUAGCCCCGUCUUACCUUGUAAUUUCAAAUUGUGAAAACUUGGUGACGCCCAUUUUUUAACUGUCGUCAACUGCGCAAGACUGGACCAGAGCUGGAUCGAAAGAGCUACCACAGCUUCAUUGCCCAUAUAAUAGGGCUAAAGUAAAAUUUGUUUUUAUCGAAAUCAAGAUUUGAAUCGUCAUCGAAGACAUGACCACAUCCAGUUGGACAAUCCGUAUUCCGGGCAAACCACUCGCGAAUGUGAAGUAAAUGACCACCGUGUGAACAACCUAUCCCAGGGCGAAUUCAACGUUUCUUUCAAAUGUGUUGUCUUUUGUAAAGUAAUGCCUCAUUUUAUAAUACCUCGACACCAGACGUAGAGGCCUCGAACAACUAAAUGGCAAAGCGAACACGUGUUGGUGAUAGUUUUGCAGGAAUCACAGAGCCAACCACGUCGCUGCAAGGCCCGACUGCACAAAUUGCAGUGAGUUGGGUAGACAUCGAAUCGGAGUUGCACACUUUCACAUUGCGACAGUUUGACUACUAAAGCCGCCGUGUUCCAUAACCGACAUCUACUAAGGCACUGAAAAACACUUUAGGGUCGUGUGAUAGCUUACAUCAAUAUACGCGAGGAUCCAGUGCUCAACAGCCGCCUCAUUUAACAAAUGACGAAUUCGAUCUCCUAAAACCAAAAUGAGCGUCACGGCAGUCUGGACGUCUCCUUCUUCGGCCAUGUGGUAGACCAUCUCGACGGCAUUGGAAACGCCACUCCAACAUGUCGUGCCGAGACUACUGGACGAGCCCGGCAGACAUAAAAGGGCUGAGGUUGUAUCCUCUACUUCAACCAUUUGAGCUUCAAUGCGAGUCCCGGCAAAGCAGUGACUGGUAAAAUGUUCUGGAGGAGGAGAUCGAUCUUUAAUUUCAUGACGAAGUUGAAAGGCUUCGCAGGGUAAAAUCCAAUCCAUCUGACUAGAUUGCUGUUGUUGCUGUUGUUGGUCUGUUUCCCCGCUGUUUUUACUCCCUUGCACAGAAUCAGACGUGUCACCAAAGUCGUUCAACACAUCCGCCUCGGCAUCUCCGAAGAAAAAGUCACUCGUGUUAAAGUGGGAUCCACUAGCGAUGUGCGACAACAUUAUCUAUUCCAUCGAAACGGGUUGAAAAUUCUACCUGAAGAAAUACGGACUUCAUCUACACUGGCCGCAAAAAUAUUGUUUACCUGUGAAUCAAUAUCUUCCACCUCAGAUUCGGCUUCUUCGCUGACUCCUCCAGAAGUGUCAGACACGCCCCUUUCAUUACUAUUAGACGUCGGUGCACUAUUGCUGUUGUUGGAUCCGCUUCCAUUGACUAAGGGUUCGCUUUGUUGGCCCGUCUGCUGAGUUGGAAAAGCCACAUUUCCCGACUGAUGUCUCGUGCCAGCGCGGGAAGACGCGUCUUUGCUGGAAUCUCCUGGCUCUGACUCUUCCUUAUUGACUGGCACUGGCCGACUGGAUCCGACUGAUGCCACCGCUGAAGGUGGAGCAAAUUCCAGACCAGAAAAGCCAAACAGAAGUUUAACCACACGCCAAAUGGUAGCCACCUGAAGUCGACCGGCAUUUGCCGCCACUACUGCAUUGUGGUCACAGAUUUCACUGAGAGAUUUGCCUGUCGUUGUCUGUAACCAAUAAUUUUGUGCACAAUCCCGAAACACUUGGGCAGGCGUCGGUUUUACGUUUUCGAAAACAUAAAUGGAACAGCGCACGGCUGGAUAGUCUUCUGAUUCUAAUUUAGGUUUCCUCGGUCUAAAGACAAAAAGUUAAUAAUCUAAAGUUUCUUUCAGCCAACAAAACACUUGCUCAACUUACAGGGUUGGAUGUUUAUUCUUCUUGGAAUUCCUAUCAACUGAGGCUGACGUCAGACUUCCCUUGGAAUUGUAAGUGACGCAGAUGGGAUUCGCUUUCUCCAUUGGUCUUUCCGCAUCUGCAAUUACGUGUUGGAUGAGAUAGGAAUCCUUGAGAGAAAAAAAAAGGUUGAAUUAAAUAUUCAAAGAAAUUUAGAUGAAUACUUUUUUUUUUAACCGACUUUGCUAGUGGAUAACAAAACGUCCGGUGAACCUCUCCAGGCAAUGCCAGUUGUGAUGUCUUUAUGGUCAUUAAAAGAAGCAUGCGGGAUGUAAGGUCGUCGAACGUCCCACACAUGAAUAACACUGUCGAUAACAAGAGCGCAGCUGGCGAUGUGAUACAUCCUUUGUGGGCGCCAUUUGAUACGGCCCACUGAUGCCAUUGUUGUAACGGUGUGUUCCAAUACCGGCCGGUAACCCAAAUCCCAUACCUAGACCUUGACAGCACGGUCUCUACCGGCUGUGGCGAGCCACGUUUUGUUUUCUGGAUGCCAAUCGCAA